RNAcentral lists this long non-coding RNA (257 nucleotides) under Lathyrus oleraceus (garden pea). Its description in RNAcentral is "Pisum sativum (pea) long non-coding RNA (PSAT_LNC038976)". Lineage: Eukaryota; Viridiplantae; Streptophyta; Magnoliopsida; Fabales; Fabaceae. The record is from RNAcentral.
AGAAUGCUUCUAGUGGAGCAAAUUGUUCUUUCUUCCCUUAGAAGAGAUUUCUCUCCAACAGUUAGAAGGGAGUGUUUUGAUUGACGUGUUCGUUCCCCACAGAAUUUCACAUCAUUCCUUGAUAAGUUCCCCAGUAGAGUUUCUCCUACGACGAAUUUUAUUGAUAUUCAGCCACCUGUUCCCAGAAUUGAUGAGAAAUUCCUAGCAGUUGGAAGUUGUGACUUUGCAUGUCCCUAACUGUGAUCGAUGUCUUCCCG